GGUCUGAUCCUGGCUCAGAUUGAACGCUGGCGGGAUGCUUACACAUGCAAGUCGAACGGCAGCACGGACUUCGGUCUGGUGGCGGGUGGCGAACGGGUGAGUAAUGUAUCGGAACGUGCCUAGUAGCGGGGAUAACUGGCGCGAAAGCGUAGCUAAUACCGCAUACGCCCUGGGAAAGCGGGGGACCUUCGGCCUUCGCAAUUAGAGCGGCCGAUAUCGGAUUAGCUAGUUGGUGUGGGUAACGGCUCACCAAGGCGACGAUCCGUAGCUGGUUUGAGAGGACGACCAGCCACACUGGGACUGAGACACGCCCAGACUCCUACGGGAGGCAGCAGUGGGGAAUUUGACAAUGGGGAAACCCCCGAUCCAGCCAUCCUGGCGUGUGCGAUGAAGGCCUUCGGGUUGUAAAGCACUUUUGGCAGGAAAGAAACGGCACGGGAUAAUACCCGUGCAACUGACGGUACCUGGGCAGAACAAGCACCGGCUAACUACGCCAGCAGCCGCGGUAAUAAUGUAGGGUGCAAGCGUUAAUCGGAAUUACCGGGCGUAAAAGCGUGCGCAGGCGGUUCGGAAAGAAAGAUGUGAAAUCCCAGAGCUUAACUUUGGAACUGCAUUUUUAACUACCGAGCUAGGUGUGUCAGAGGGGAGGUGGAAUUCCGCGUGUAGUAGUGAAAUGCGUAGAUAUGCGGAGGAACACCGAUGGCGAAGGCAGCUUCCUGGGAUAACACUGACGCUCAUGCACGAAAGCGUGGGGAGCAAACAGGAUUAGAUACCCUGGUAGUCCACGCCCUAAACGAUGUCAACUAGCUGCUGGGGCCUUCGGGCCUGGUAGCGCAGCUAACGCGUGAAGUUGACCGCCUGGGGAGUACGGUCGCAAGAUUAGAACUCAAAGGAAUUGGGACCCGCACAAGCGGUGGAUGAUGUGGAUUAAUUCGAUGCAACGCGAAAACCUCACCUACCCUUGACAUGUCUGGAAUCCCGAAGAGAUUUGGGAGUGCUCGCAAGAGAACCGGAACACAGGUGCUGCAUGGUUGUCGUCAGCUCGUGUCGUGAGAUGUUGCCAAGUCCCGCAACGAGCGCAACCCUUGUCAUUAGUUGCUACGAAAGGGCACCUAAUGAGACUGCCGGUGACAAACCGGAGGAAGGUGGGGAUGACGUCAAGUCCUUCAUGGCCCUUAUGGGUAGGGCUUCACACGUCAUACAAUGGUCGGGACAGAGGGUCGCCAACCGGCGAGGGGGAGCCAAUCCCAGAAACCCGAUCGUAGUCCGGAUCGCAGUCUGCAACUCGACUGCGUGAAGUCGGAAUCGCUAGUAAUCGCGGAUCAGCAUGUCGCGGUGAAUACGUUCCCGGGUCUUGUACACACCGCCCGUCACACCAUGGGAGUGGGUUUUACCAGAAGUAGUUAGCCUAACCGUAAGGAGGGCGAUUAACACGACAGGAUUCAUGACUGGGGUGAAGUCGUAACAAGGUAA
RNAcentral lists this ribosomal RNA (1473 nucleotides) under uncultured Bordetella sp. RNAcentral's name for it is "partial 16S-23S ribosomal RNA intergenic spacer". It matches the Rfam family "Bacterial small subunit ribosomal RNA". The record is from RNAcentral. Lineage: Bacteria; Pseudomonadati; Pseudomonadota; Betaproteobacteria; Burkholderiales; Alcaligenaceae.